AGAGUUUGAUCCUGGCUCAGGAUGAACGCUAGCGGCAGGCCUAACACAUGCAAGUCGAGCGGUUUGUAGCGAUACAGAUAGCGGCGGACGGGUGCGUAACGCGUACGGAACUUGCCCUGGAGUGGGGGAUAACAGUUCGAAAGGACUGCUAAUACCGCAUAAUGCAGCGGCUCCAUAAGGAGACAGUUGUUAAAGAUUUAUUGCUUCAGGAGAGUCGUGCGUAAGAUUAGCUAGUUGGCGGGGUAACGGCCCACCAAGGCGACGAUCUUUAGCUGGUCUGAGAGGAUGAGCAGCCACACUGGGACUGAGACACGGCCCAGACUCCUACGGGAGGCAGCAGUGAGGGAUAUUGCACAAUGGGGGCAACCCUGAUGCAGCGACGCCGCGUGGGUGAUGAAGGCUUUCGGGUCGUAAAACCCUUUUUGGCAUGACGAGAACGGACGGUAGUGCCAGAAUAAGUCUCGGCUAACUACGUGCCAGCAGCCGCGGUAAUUC
Molecule: ribosomal RNA, 495 nt
Filed under: uncultured bacterium
Lineage: Bacteria
Description: bacterial SSU rRNA
Rfam family: Bacterial small subunit ribosomal RNA
Source: RNAcentral